Molecule: non-coding RNA, 360 nt
Organism: Apus apus (common swift)
Lineage: Eukaryota; Metazoa; Chordata; Aves; Apodiformes; Apodidae
Source: the annotation of a RefSeq genome assembly
AUGUGGCUGCUGAGUGCUUUCAUCCUGACAGCUGUUUUUUCUUGCGGCUCUGUACAAAUCUUGCAGCAAAGCCCCAUAUCCAUCACCAAGCCAGAAAGCAAGACGGUGCUCAUCAACUGUCAUGUCUCUCAUCCUGAUUUUAACAACAUUUUUAUUCACUGGUAUCGGAAGAAGCCCAAUGCAGGUCCCAGGCGCAUUGCCUACAUGGCCUCCAGGCUGUUCCUUGAAAAUCAGUCUGAUGAAGGCAAGUUUAGUGUUGAGAAGGACCCCACCAAAUCUCUCUGCACCCUGACAGUGAGCAAAGUAACUCUGCAAGACUCUGCUACCUACUUCUGCGCUAAGUGGGAUGCACAGCAGUAG